UUGGAAGAUUUGAAGAUUUUAGCCUGUAUUCUUGGAUGAUUUGAAGACUUCAGCUUGUAUACUCGGAAGAUUUGAAGACUUCAAUU
Non-coding RNA from Solanum tuberosum (potato), 86 nucleotides. The record is from Rfam. Lineage: Eukaryota; Viridiplantae; Streptophyta; Magnoliopsida; Solanales; Solanaceae.